Molecule: ribosomal RNA, 584 nt
Filed under: Phaeosphaeria sp.
Lineage: Eukaryota; Fungi; Ascomycota; Dothideomycetes; Pleosporales; Phaeosphaeriaceae
Description: partial large subunit ribosomal RNA
Rfam family: Eukaryotic large subunit ribosomal RNA
Source: RNAcentral
CGGCGAGUGAAGCGGCAAUAGCUCAAAUUUGAAAUCUGGCUCUUUUAGAGUCCGAGUUGUAAUUUGCAGAGGGCGCUUUGGCGUUGGCAGCGGUUCAAGUUCUUUGGAACAGGACGUCAUAGAGGGUGAGAAUCCCGUACGUGGCCGCUAUCCUUCGCCGUGUAAAGCCCCUUCGACGAGUCGAGUUGUUUGGGAAUGCAGCUCUAAAUGGGAGGUAAAUUUCUUCUAAAGCUAAAUACUGGCCAGAGACCGAUAGCGCACAAGUAGAGUGAUCGAAAGAUGAAAAGCACUUUGGAAAGAGAGUUAAAUAGCACGUGAAAUUGUUGAAAGGGAAGCGCUUGCAGCCAGACUUGCCUGUAGUUGCUUAUCUGGACUUUUGUCCGGUGCACUCUUCUGCGGGCAGGCCAGCAUCAGUUUGGGCAGUUGGAUAAAGGUCUCUGUCAUGUACCUCUCUUCGGGGAGGCCUUAUAGGGGAGACGACAUGCAACUAGCCUGGACUGAGGUCCGCGCAUCUGCUAGGAUGCUGGCGUAAUGGCUGUAAGCGGCCCGUCUUGAAACACGGACCAAGGAGUCUAACAUCUAUG